CGACAAGAGGAGGCUGCAGUCAGUGCUUCGCUCAUUUGCUCGGCUGAAACGGUGUCUUAUCCACCUCUAAUAAUUGCGCUCGCAUGUUCCUUGUUAUUUCUGAACGGGACUAAAGGCUUGGUGCGUAUUCACUCUCUCGCGUUUGGACUCAGUGACUAGGCAAGCAGUGUUACUUCAAGCAACAAGGCGCAGCACGGGGACCCGUGGUUGCAGUGACGGGUCCCUCUCCGCUGAUGCGAUGGUGCCGAAAUGUAGGCCAGCAAUUUUUAGAACUGUUCCAUCCCGCCUUUCUGCGAGUCGACUUAAAAUAACGUGGAGUUGGAUGAUGGAGUUGUAAUUGUAGCCUAUGUUAAGUGGAAAAAAAGGAAAUAUUUGAAGGGUAAAAGUUAAGAUUCACUUUGAGAUGUAGCUGGCUGGCGUUUGUGGUGUAUUGCGUCUUGGCGAGUGAUGGGAAAAGGCUUUCAAGCAUUCUAUUUCUCUGCUCAUGGAUCUAAGUCGUGUUGGAUCCGUUCUAUAGAUCUCUCUACUUCUGCCUCCACACUAGCCUACAUCUAUCUCUGUCUCUUGCCUAGCGAAUGAUUCAGAAAAAAGAUUAUGGGCGUAACUAAAAAGGGUAAAGGAGAAUUCACCCAGAUUUGGAACAAUAGACAUCAAUUCACAAUGGACAAUGAAUAGAGGAGCAGAACUGUUUGGGGUUCUGGACACGUCCACGCCAGGCGGGCUCGUGACGAGGCCAACGACAUGUGGUGCGGGACUGACUGGCAGUCUGGACACUUGCACAAAUUAGAGAGUCGUUUGGCCAGUUUUCUUGUCUCAGGCCACUCAAGCAAAAGUAGACUAAUGCCAGUGUUUGUAGUAAACUGCUCCAGAUUGGAUUGACUCAUUACAUACCUUUGCUCUCUUUCAACGUGUAUCUAUGCCAGAUAGCUCCGGGUUUAUUUCUCGGGCUCAGUUUAAACUCGUAUAGCUGUAGCAAACUCUACACUGCUGCUGCAGAGCUCGAGUUUUUCUAUCAUCAAAAAUUCUAUAGCCUAACUGAAAUUCAAUGUGGACAUCAGUAACGCCUAUUUUAUUGGAUUUACGGCAACAGGUGCUGAAAUCUGAGAAAGACUUUCAUACAAGCAAGGAGGAGGAGGAGAAACAGAGAGAAAAAUAGGAAGAGAAGGAGAGGAUAGGAAUGAUGCCUGUUUGGAAGCAGUGAAUGAUGAACCAGGGAGCAGGUGAACCCAGCUGUCGAUGGCCAUGGGCUCUCUGGCUCCUCUCUUCCCGUGGCCCUCUGCGCCGUGCCGGGUUCUCAGGGAGCCGGCUGGGGCCAGCCAGGCAGCGGCAGAGUGGGCAGGCGAGCCGAGGCAAGGGGAGGCGAGGCAGGCUCUCAUCCCCGCUAGCAAGAUGCUCCUCAGCAAAGCGGAGCAGCAAAUCAAUAUGGAGGAGAGAGGCUAGCAGGGUUCGCCCAUCACUGCCCCCGGCCCUAGAGCCCAGGGACCCAGCGCUGCCAGCUCUCGCUCUCCUCCUCCUCUAGUAGCAGGACCAGAACCAGCCACUGUAUGGAGCACAUCAGUCAGAUCCUAACCCUCAACCACCUGCUUUCUCUCUAUCUGUGUGUGUGUAAGCAUGUCUGUAUGUGUGGUUCUGCCGUAGGGGCUUUCGUGGUCCAAGACCACUUGCUAAAGCUUUGCCAGCGAGAAAGAGAGAGAAUAAAAAACGGACGUCAAAGGUCUUUUUCUUUUUUUUUCUCUGAUUACUCAUUCUUACUCAUUCCACCUGACUGUUUGAGCGAGAGUUCUUAUAUUGAAUUGAACAGGGCUCUCUCGUCAGUCCCCCUCCAAGCAUGUACUGUACAGUCACCAUGCUCUCCACAUGUGAUGAACCAGGAUAAAAGGACAAUUUGAACUUUUUUCUCUCGUCUGCAGAUUCAGAGAAAAUCUUUUUCGCCUCCAGUUUUCUUCCUCACCACUCAGGUUACUAUCAGAGGAGGUGGCAGAGGUUAUUGAUCUGUAUGGAGAAGGAAGAGGUGCUGGUUUUAAUACAGUACCGUUCACUGUCUGAUGGUUAUAUAGUAGUGGCUGAUAACCCAUUCACUGUACAGCUGAACUAUAUUCAGGAGUGAACGAGUCCUGAGUGAGAGAUGAAAAGGACGGUGAGCAGAUAAUGCCUGAACAGUGGCCUGAACAGUAUCCACUAUUUCAUGUGACUUUUCUCCUCCAUAUUUGAAUCAAUCUCUCCACAUAAGAAGCUUUGAAAAGACCUUCUACGCAAGAAACCCUAUCUUUAGAUACAUAGAAAUAGAAAACAUUUGAUUAAAUAAGAAUGACUGUAAGUGCUGUAUGGACACACAAAAAGCUGAAUUACAUUUAUUUCAUUGGAGAAGAAAAGGAUUGAAAACUGCUGGGCUGGAGAGGACAAAAGGGACAGAGCUUGUUUGGACCUGAAACAGUAACAACUUCACAGAGUGAGAUCUACAAACAACACAAUGUUGCAGACUUCACUUGAUGCUGAGGUUCCAAUGGAGAUGCAGUGGAAGCAUCAAGCAUCAUGUCCCGUGCAGACCAAACCAGACACACAGAGAUGUAAAGCCGUCCACUGUUCUUGUAAUAAAGGUCAAUAGAAAUACCCCACCACAGUCAAGAGGAUUCAGUUCUCCAAUCUACUGAUUAUCACCAAAUGUUUGUGUGGUCAGGUAAGUGGGAGUCUUAACAAGGGAAAGGCACAUUUAUAAGUGUAAAAAAAGUAAUAUAUUUUUUGGAAUAGUUUCAUUAGGUCUUAAUGAAAGAUUUUGAAACCAAUUUUAGGGGGAUAUUGGUUGAGAUCCCAAGGGAUCCUUUGCCGUUUCUAUUUCAGAGUAAAGCUUUUAAAUGUAAAAUCCUUGAUUUGCUCUAGUCUUUGUAUGCGUUUGCACUUCAGCUUCAUUCCCUAACCUAUAAUUUUCAUAUCAUUGAUCGUAAUAACUAUUUUUUAUGUAAAAAAUUAAAGACUGCUACAUGUUUCAGUGUCUUGUGGUACAAAAUUAAAAUAAAGUGAACUUAAUUGAAAAAAGAAAAGCUGCCUCAGUAGUUUUAUUUUUGUUUUUCCAUUUAAAUUAAUCAAAUGAAAGUUUAUCAAUGACCAUACACUGCAUAUUGUAGGUACCAAUGUAGGAUUCUAAUUUGAGCCAGUUUGCUACAGCAAGAAAAUAAUGCUGCAGCAACAGGAAAUUAUUAUGUGGAUUAUAAUUGAACACAACAUUUUUGUAGGGGUUGAUACAUGUGUAAUGUUAGGUCAAAUCAAAGUGGAAACUACAAACUUUAGAAGCAGUGCAGGAAAAUUCGCAUCAACAAAAGAGUGAUCAAAUUAAGAUCCUACAUCUGUAUACAAUAUGAACGUGGGUAAUUUCACACAGGAGGUCCAACAUUUGAAACAGCUAUUCAGAUCAUCUCAGAGUUAUCUUGAAGGACCAGAAAGGAGACAGUUAAACCAAGUGGCCUACGUCUUUGGUGCCAAUUAGGUCCCUGUGUAUGAGAGCAAAGUGGGUGUGGAAGGAAGCUGCUGGAGCUGAAGAAGGAGCUACACACAGGCCUUGUUUUUUAGUGAUCACGCCUCCUAUUGUUUUCCCACAACAGCCGGUUCAUGCGAUGCCCCAAAACCCCCAGUGCGCUUCAGUGCUCUGGCUGAAAUGGGCUCUCUGUUCCCUGCACUGGGCUGCCCGCCUAGCUCCUGCCUCGCCCUGACUGGUAAUGACCUGAAAUUAGGGCCAAGCCAGGAGGGGAGGCCCUGGGCCCUGGUCUGAAAGAAAGGAGGAGAUUAUCCCAUUCUGCCCGGCCAGUCAGCAGUGGUGGUAUUGACCAGGGCCCACCCAGGGAGGGUCCAGUGAGCCGUGAGAUGGCCUGAUAUACAUGCUUAUUGAGCUGGACAGAUUCCCUCACUCUCACCAGGGAUAAACCAAACCGUACAAGACACUUUCUUAAACACUGCUCUGGAGAUUAUAGGAGUGACCCCCCCCCCCCUGGGUGGAAACACACAAACUGGGCAGACCUCACCCUAUCCUCUGUCCAGACUGCCACUGGGAGUUUGGCCAGGCUUCUCAAUGUCGCUGUCCUGAGAGCCGAAAAGGGGUCAUCAGACCAAACAUCCUACAGUGGCCUAAUGAAAAACACUCGGAAAGUAUUCAGACCCCUUGCCUUUUUCCAAAUUUUUUACGUUACAGCCUUAUUCUAAAAUUGAUUAAAUUCAUGUUGUUCCUCGUCAAUCUACACACAAUACCCCAUAAUAACAAAGCGAAAACAGGUUUUUAGAAUGUUUUGCAAAUGUAUAAAAAAGAAAAAACAGAAAUACCUUAUUUACACAAGAAUUCAGACCCUUUGCAAUGAGACUCGAAAUUGAGCUCAGGUCCAUCCUGUUUCCAUUGAUCGUCCUGGUUUCUACAACUUGGUAAAUUCAAUUGAUUGGACAUGAUUUGGAAAGGCACACACCUGUCUAUAUAAAAGGUCCCACAGUUGACAGUGCAUGUCAGAGCAAAAACCAAGCCGUGAGGUAAAAGGAAUUGUCCAUAGAGCUCUGAGACAGGAUUGUGCCGAGGCACAGAUCUGGGGAACGGUACCAAAAAAUUUCUGAAGGUCCCCAAGAACACAGGGGCCUCCAUAAUUCUUAAAUGGAAGAAGUUUGUAACCAUGAAGACUCUUCCUAGAGCUGGCUGCCCGGCCAAACUGAGCAAUCGGGGGAGAAGGGCCUUGGUCAGGAAGGUGACCAAGAACCGAUGGUCACUCUGACAGAGCUCCAGAGUUCCUCUGUGGAGAUGGGAGAACAUUCCAGAAGGACAUCCAUUUCUGCAGCACUCCACAAUCAAGCCUUUAUGGUAGGGUGGCCAGACGGAAGCCACUCCUCAGUAAAAGGCACAUGACAGCCCGCUUGGAGUUUGCCGAAAGGCACCUAAAGGACUCUCAGACCAUGAGAAACAAGAUUCUCUGGUCUGAUGAAUCCAAGAUUGAACUAUUUGGCCUGAAUGCCAAGCGUCACGUCUGGCGGAAACCUUUUUUAUUUUUUAUUUCACCUUUAUUUAACAAGGUAGACCAGCUGAGAAAGAGUUCUCAUUUACAACUGUGACCUGGCCAAGAUAAAGCAAAGCAGUGCGACAAAAACAACACAGUUACACAUGGGAUAAAUAAACGUAGAAAAAUCUGUAUACAGUGUGUGCAAAUGAAGUAAGGAGAUAGGGCAAUAAAUAGGCCAAUAGUGGUGAAGUAAUUACAAUUUAGCAAUUAACACUGGAGUGAUAUGUGUGCAGAUGAGGAUGUGCAAGUAGAAAUACUGUUGUAUUUGAGCAGAAAAAUAAAACAAAUAUGGGGAUGAGGUAGGUAGUUGGUUGGAUGGGCUAUUUACAGAUGGGCUGUGUACAGCUGCAGCUAUCGGUAAGCUGCUCUGACAGCUGACACUUAAAGUUAGUGAGGGAGAUAUAAGUGUCCAACUUCAGUGAUUUUUGCAAUUCGUUCCAGUCAUUGGCAGCAGAGAAUUGGAAUGAAAGGAGGCCAAAGUAGGUGUUGGCUUUGGGGAUGACCAGUGAAAUAUACCUGUUGGAGCGCAUGCUAUGGGUGGGUGUUGCUAUGGUGACCAGUGAGCUGAGAUAAGGCGGAGCUUUACCUAGCAAAGACUAAUAGAUGACCUGGAGCCAGUGGGUUUGGCGACGAAUAUGUAGCGAGGACCAGCCAACGAGAGCAUACAGGUUACAGGGGUGGGUAGUAUAUGAGGCUUUGGUGACAAAAUGGAUGGCACUGUGAUAGACUGCAUCCAAU
RNAcentral lists this long non-coding RNA (5762 nucleotides) under Salmo salar (Atlantic salmon). Its description in RNAcentral is "lncRNA (ENSSSAG00000108688.1)". Lineage: Eukaryota; Metazoa; Chordata; Actinopteri; Salmoniformes; Salmonidae. The record is from RNAcentral.